This 253-nucleotide ribosomal RNA is filed under the name uncultured bacterium. RNAcentral describes it as "partial 16S ribosomal RNA". It matches the Rfam family "Bacterial small subunit ribosomal RNA", at positions 525 to 776 of the family's 1533-position model. The record is from RNAcentral.
ACGUAGGGGACAAGCGUUGUCCGGAUUUAUUGGGCGUAAAGAGCUCGUAGGCGGUUCCGUAAGUCGGAUGUGAAAACUCAAGGCUCAACCUUGAGACGCCAUUCGAUACUGCGGUGACUCGAGUCUGGUAGAGGAGUGUGGAAUUUCUGGUGUAGCGGUGAAAUGCAUAGAUAUCAGAAGGAACACCAACGGCGAAGGCAGCACUCUGGGCCAGUACUGACGCUGAGGAGCGAAAGCGUGGGGAGCAAACAGG